GCUGGCUGGCAAGUAGAAGAGGAGGCUCGUUUCUACUGGUCAAGCUCGUCUGCCUGUGUUUUUUUUUAUUCCCCUUAUUCUGUUUUUGGUUACCUCUCUCCCCUUUCUGUCUUGCCCCAAGCACGUAACGAGUGCGUGUGCUUGCUUGCGCAUGUGCGUUGUAGCCCUUGCUGCUACUGUUUUCACCACUUUGCACUAUCCCACGUUCGCCUGUGAUUGCACACACACGCACACAAAUAUAUAUAAAUAUACACAUCUAUGCGCAUAUAUGUAUGCAUAUAUGUGUGUGUGUGUACGUAUAUGUAUACAUAUUUGUUGCCCCCCCCCCCCCCCUCGCUCUCUCCCUCGCUUUCCUCGGGCAUACACUGUUGUAUUUCCCUUGUUGCCCGCUCCCUUCACGCAUGUCUACUGACUAUUCACUCCGUCUCUGCUUGUCACGCCUCACUUCUAAGAACCACAGCCGAGCGCAAGCACGCACAUCAACUGACGCAACGCAGACACGCGCAGCAAAACCAUCAUGAGCGCUGACAAGAAGGUGGUCAUAAUUGGCGCCGGUCCGACCGGCCUCGGCGCUGCUGUGCGUUUGAUGGAGCUCAAGCACGCCAACUUCCAUCUCUACGACGGCGGCGCCGUCCCUGGCGGCCUCUCGCGCAGCGUCCUCGACGAAAAAGGUUUCUUAUGGGACAUGGGUGGCCACGUCAUCUUUUCCCACUACGCGUACUUUGACGAUGUCAUGAACCUCGCCAUCUCUGACUGGAACACGCUCCAGCGCGAGUCAUGGGUGCGCUGCUCCGGCGCCUGGGUGCCAUACCCGUUUCAGAGCAACAUUCACCGCCUCCCACCGGAGGUGCGAGACACUUGCCUGAAAGGUAUUGAGGAGGCCGAGGCGGCGCGUGCUGUCGCCGCGCAGGAGAAGCCGCAGAACUUCGCCGAGUAUGUCUCGCGUCAUUUUGGCGAGGGCAUCGCCGAGGUUUUCAUGCGCCCGUACAACUUUAAGGUGUGGGCAGUACCGCUGCAUGUGAUGAGCACGGAGUGGGUUGGCGAGCGCGUGGCCGCUGUGAACGUUGAGCGCAUCAGGGAGAACAUCCAACUCAAGCGCGAUGACAUUGGCUGGGGCCCCAACGCCACUUUCCGGUUCCCGAAGUCGGGCGGCACCGGCGCCAUCUACAAGGCCGUGUGGAAGAUGAUCCCAGAGGCGCACAAGACGCUUGGUCCACAGUGCCGCGUCACCAAGGUGAACCCGAUUACGAAGACGCUGACAAUGGCGAGUGGCGAGGCGGUGUCGUACGAUGCGCUUGUCUCCACGAUGCCGCUAGAUGAUCUUCUUCUCGCCGUGGCGGCCGGAGUGGAGGAGGAUGCGGAGACCGCGUCAGCGUCGGCGCUCAAAUCGCCGCGGCUGCGCGAGAUUGCUGAAAAGAUGGUUUACAGUUCCACCCACAUCAUCGGCAUCGGCGUGAAAGGGUGCCCGCCACCAGAGAUGCGGACGGCGUGCUGGCUGUACUUUCCGGACGACGGUAUUCCGUUCUACCGCGCGACGAUCUUCUCCCGCUACGCGGACACAAACGCGCCGGAGGGGCACUGGAGCAUCCUGCUGGAGGUAAGCCAAAAUGUGCAAUACAAACCCGUCAACGUGGACACCGUAGUGGAAGACUGCAUUGCUGGCCUUCGAACGGCGACGUUACUUCGCCCAGAGGACGAGAUUGUGUCGCGUUGGCACCACAUUGAGAAGAAGGGCUACCCGAUCCCAUUCGUGGGCCGCAACGAGCUGCUGGAGGAGGUGCAGCCGGUACUGCGUGACAAGUAUCAGAUCUAUUCACGCGGCCGCUUCGGCGCAUGGCGGUACGAGGUAGCAAAUCAAGAUCACUCGUUGAUGCAAGGCGUCGAGGCAGUGGGACACAUCUUUCACGGCACCGACGAGGACACCGUGCAUAAACCAGAAAAGGUCAAUACCCAGCGCGGUGAGAUGCGCUGCACAUUGUCGUCGACGGCCUCGUAGAUGCCAAGGUUGGCAGUCAUGGACAAGGAUGUCGAGGGGUUUCCCUUUCACCUAUCAUGUGCUUCACUGCCCCGUACGACGACCUUCACCAUCGCCCCGGCACACAGAAAAGCUGAGCGCCGCUGCACGGUUGUCAGAGGAGGGGUGAGGACUACCCAGGAAGAGGAGACUCUACCGCACUUUCUCUGUUCUUCAUGCCGUGCGUGCAGCGACGCACGACCUCUGGCGCACCUGGCGGCUCUCCAUCAAGAAAUGCGGAGGAAAGACAAAACGAGAACAUCGACAAAAGAGCGACUCCUAUGCCGACGCUCAUGCCUCUCUGACCCUCUGUGGCAUAGCGUGUCUGUACUGCGCGGUGUAAUGGUGUCCCACCGCUCCCCACCGCCUUUUAAGUGUUUUCUUUUCUUUUUUGUGUGUGCUUGCUCGUCUACUCUGGCCACAUCCCCUGCGCUGCUUUGCCCGACGAGAG
Molecule: unclassified non-coding RNA, 2465 nt
Filed under: Leishmania donovani
Lineage: Eukaryota; Euglenozoa; Kinetoplastea; Trypanosomatida; Trypanosomatidae
Description: gene:LdHU3.18.0240(CDS-product:UDP-galactopyranos e_mutase)
Source: RNAcentral